Non-coding RNA from Chiloscyllium plagiosum (whitespotted bambooshark), 365 nucleotides. Lineage: Eukaryota; Metazoa; Chordata; Chondrichthyes; Orectolobiformes; Hemiscylliidae. The record is from RefSeq and is a predicted model, not a curated record.
ACCAAGCCAAUCAGGACUUCUUGUGAAAAGUAUGAUGCUACAUGUUUUAAAAGUUUAAUGUUCGAGUGUUAACGUUACAGUUUAUAUCACAGCGGACAGCAAGGUCACUACAGGAAAGAUCGACAGCUAGCCAUGUACAAUUCCUGUGCAUGGAGCGAAGGCAUUUGUAUAGGACACCCAGCAGCUGAGAGAUGUGCAAAACAGUGUUGCGUUUGGAAGUAGUGAGAGGGACAAUUUGAGACUGAGCAUCAUCACGGAUUUUUUAAGUUAAGGAAAUUCUGCCUGACCUCUGAUUGAUUGAGCUGCCAAGUUUUGAAAGUACAUAGCAAUGAGAAACAUCCAGAGUCUACAAGCAAAAAGCAUCC